This 482-nucleotide ribosomal RNA is filed under the name uncultured bacterium. RNAcentral's name for it is "partial 16S ribosomal RNA". It matches the Rfam family "Bacterial small subunit ribosomal RNA", at positions 30 to 507 of the family's 1533-position model. The record is from RNAcentral.
AUUGAACGCUGGCGGCAUGCCUUACACAUGCAAGUCGAACGGUAACAGGUCUUCGGAUGCUGACGAGUGGCGAACGGGUGAGUAAUACAGCGGAACGUGCCCAGACGUGGGGGAUAACGAGGCGAAAGCUGUGCUAAUACCGCAUACGAACUAAGGAUGAAAGCAGGGGACCGCAAGGGCUUGAGCGAUUUGAGCGGCCGAUGGCAGAUUAGGUAGUUGGUGGGAUAAAAGCUUACCAAGGCGACGAUCUGUAGCUGGUCUGAGACGACGAGCAGCCACACUGCGACUGAGACACGGCCCAGCCUCCUACGGGAGGCAGCAGUGGGGCAUUUUCGACAAUGGGCGAAAGCCUGUUCCAGCAAUGCCGCGUGAAGGAUGAAGGCCUUCGGGUUGUAAACUGCUUUUGUACGGAACGAAAAGGCUCUGGCUAAUACCUGGGGCACAUGACGGUACCGUAAGAAUAAGCCCCGGCUAACUACGUG